GACAGAGGAUGCAAGCGUUAUCCGGAAUGAUUGGGCGUAAAGCGUCUGUAGGUGGCUUUUUAAGUCCGCCGUCAAAUCCCAGGGCUCAACCCUGGACAGGCGGUGGAAACUACCAAGCUGGAGUACGGUAGGGGCAGAGGGAAUUUCCGGUGGAGCGGUGAAAUGCGUAGAGAUUGGAAAGAACACCAAUGCGAAGACACUUACUGGCUAGU
Molecule: ribosomal RNA, 212 nt
Filed under: uncultured bacterium
Lineage: Bacteria
Description: partial 16S ribosomal RNA
Rfam family: Bacterial small subunit ribosomal RNA
Source: RNAcentral